AUUGAACGCUGGCGGCGUGCCUAACACAUGCAAGUCGAGCGGUAACAGGUGUAGCAAUACAUGCUGACGAGCGGCGAACGGGUGAGUAAUGCUUCGGAAUCUACCCAAUGGUGGGGAAUAACCAGCCGAAAGGUUGGCUAAUACCGCAUACGUCCCACGGGAGAAAGCAGGGGAUCGCAAGACCUUGCGCCAAUGGAUGAGCCGAAGUCGGAUUAGCUAGUUGGAGGGUAACGGCCUACCAAGGCGACGAUCCGUAGCUGGUCUGAGAGGACGGACCAGCCACACUGGGACUGAGACACGGCCCAGACUCCUACGGGAGGCAGCAGUGGGGAAUAUUGGACAAUGGGGGAAACCCGUACGAUCCAGCGACGCCGCGUGUGUGAAGAAGGCCUGCGGGGUU
This 400-nucleotide ribosomal RNA is filed under the name uncultured bacterium. Its description in RNAcentral is "bacterial SSU rRNA". It matches the Rfam family "Bacterial small subunit ribosomal RNA", at positions 29 to 425 of the family's 1533-position model. The record is from RNAcentral.